Molecule: ribosomal RNA, 414 nt
Filed under: uncultured bacterium
Lineage: Bacteria
Description: bacterial SSU rRNA
Rfam family: Bacterial small subunit ribosomal RNA
Source: RNAcentral
CCCAGACUCCUACGGGAGGCAGCAGUGGGGAAUAUUGCACAAUGGGGGAAACCCUGAUGCAGCGACGCCGCGUGAGUGAAGAAGUAAUUCGUUAUGUAAAGCUCUCUCAGCAGGGAAGAAAAUGACGGUACCUGACCAAGAAGCUCCGGCUAAAUACGUGCCAGCAGCCGCGGUAAUACGUAUGGAGCAAGCGUUAUCCGGAUUUACUGGGUGUAAAGGGAGCGCAGGCGGCAGUGCAAGUCUGAUGUGAAAGGCGGGGGCCCAACCCCCGGACUGCUUUGGAAACUGCGCGGCUGGAGUGUCGGAGAGGUAAGCGGAAUUCCUAGUGUAGCGGUGAAAUGCGUAGAUAUUAGGAGGAACACCAGUGGCGAAGGCGGCCUACUGGACUAUAACUGACGUUGAGGCUCGAAAGCG